CUGCAUCCUUGACUCCUUGUAUGUAGAUAAGGAAUCAAAUCGAUCGCGUCCGUUCAGGCGUCCUGAGAGCUAAUAGAAGCGUUAACAUUGCACGACGCUGGCGCUGGACAUCUGUUUCCCAAGCAGCAGCAACGACGAGCACAACACAACCGUCACCACCACCGGGAACCACACUCGCUGCUACUCACUACCAGGAGAACGGGUGACAGCAUGUCCGUACCGGGCUUGUGGGCAGCGGUAGCCGCCGUGGCCGUCGUGAUCAUCGACGCUCUCGUGCGUAGGGCCCACCGGUGGGCUUGGGAGGCUUCGCUCGGCGGCAGCAGGCGGGCACGGCUGCCUCCGGGUGACAUGGGGUGGCCCGUCGUCGGCGCGAUGUGGGCAUUCCUCUGGGCAUUCAAGUCCGGCAACCCGGACUCUUUCAUCGGCUCCUUCAUCCGACGGUUCGGGCGCACGGGCGUGUACAUGACCUUCAUGUUCAGCAAGCCGACGGUCCUGGUGGCCACCCCGGAAGCGUGCAAGCGGGUGCUGAUGGACGACGACAGCUUCUUGGAAGGGUGGCCCAGGGCCACCGUGGCGCUUAUCGGGCGCAAGUCCUUCCUCACCUUGCCCUGCGAGGAGCACCGGCGGCUGCGGAAGCUCACAGCCGCGCCCAUCAACGGCUUCGACGCGCUCACCACGUACCUGGGCUUCAUCGACCGGACUGUCGUGGCCACGCUGCGCGGGUGGUCGGACGCCGGCGAGAUCGAGUUCCUCACGGAGCUGCGGCGGAUGACGUUCAAGAUCAUCGUGCAGAUAUUCCUGACCGCCGCCGAUGACGCCACGACGCUGGCGCUGGAGAGCAGCUACACCGACCUCAACUACGGGAUGAGGGCCAUGGCCAUUAACCUUCCCGGUUUCGCCUUCCACAGGGCUUUCAAGGCUCGCAAGAAGCUGGUGUCGGUGUUGCAGGGUGUCCUGAACGAGAGGAGGGCGAGGAAACGGCUCCCCCGGUCGAGCGUAGACAUGAUGGACCGCCUGAUUGAUGCGGAGGACGAGCACGGGAGGCGGCUGGAUGACGAGGAGAUUAUCGACAUCCUCGUCAUGUACCUGAACGCGGGGCAUGAGUCGUCCGGGCACAUCUGCAUGUGGGCUACCGUGUAUCUACAGAAACACCCAGAGAUAUUUGCAAAAGCGAAGGCCGAGCAAGAGGAGAUCAUGAGAAGCAUUCCGUCUUCUCAGAUGGGGCUAAGCCUGAGGGAUUUCAGGAGGAUGGAGUACCUCUCACAGGUCAUCGAUGAGACGCUGCGUCUAGUGAACAUCUCUUACGUCUCGUUCCGUGAAGCGACCAAAGACGUCUUUGUGAAUGGCUACCUGAUACCGAAGGGCUGGAACGUUCAGCUGUGGUACAGAAGUGUGCACAUGGAUCCUGAAGUUUAUCGUGACUCCAAAGAGUUUAACCCAUCAAGAUGGGAGGGUUAUACACCGAGAGCCGGCACAUUCCUUCCUUUUGGACUUGGUACCAGAUUCUGCCCUGGGAACGAUCUUGCAAAGCUGGAGAUCUCCGUCUUCCUCCACCAUUUCCUCCUUGGUUACAAGGGAAAAAAGGACAAAUCUUACUAUGAAUAGCUUGGACCAUGAAAAAAAGGACCGGGAUAGUAAGCAGAACCCAAAUUUUGUCCGGAGGACCUGUCAAUUGAGGCUCACGAGGACAAAUCCUAACUGCCGGAUACGGUACCUUCCUCAUCCUAGGCCGGUGGAUAAUUGCUUGGCAAAGAUCACCAGGGUUUGAGAUGAACAAUAUGGUGGCCUCAAUCAAACUGUUUCUCCAACCCAGCAAAAAAACACUUGUUAAUGCUUCUCGGUGAAAGCUUUGUCUCGUCAUCACAAAUAAGCUUAAGUGGUCUCCAACAUAUAGAUGAUUUGCAACAUCUUCUUAGGUUUGUUCAUGCAAUCUCAAAUACUAAGGGCCCACUUGAUAGGGUUAUAAUUUGUAAGAAAAAUAGAUCAAAUCCUAUCUAAAGUAAGGUUUUGAUGUUUAAUAAUUAACAUGACUAUUAAAAGUAA
This is an RNA transcript of Zea mays, 2043 nucleotides long. It is a transcript of the gene named cytochrome P450 88A1-like, with no coding region annotated. The transcript is spliced from 9 exons. Lineage: Eukaryota; Viridiplantae; Streptophyta; Magnoliopsida; Poales; Poaceae. The record is from RefSeq and is marked validated.